UGAAUAGGCACAGGAAUUGUGGAAAGAUGAGGACAAGAUAGCAGACAACAAUGGAUAAAUAGAUAUGAUUCAUGCUGACAAAAUUGAAACAGUAAUCAAUAUUGAUAAUUAAUAUUUGGAAAUAAAAAACCAGUUAAAGGUGUCAUGCCAAGCAAGAAAGGGAGAGGAGGGGUCCACCCCCAACCUUCUCCUGCAGAUGUUCAGAACAGGAGGAAGCAAGAGAUAAAUAUGACUAAAUUUCGUUGGAAGAGAGGAGAAUUUGGUUGGACACCAGGAAAAUGUUUAUUGUAGCAGGCACAGGGCCUGCACGGCCUCCCUGGCGAUCAGAAGCCUGAGCUAGGAAAUGCCAAAGAGUAGCAUGACUAAGGCUUUAGAAACCCCUCUCUUCCGCCUUUCCGGACCCUGUUAUCUCCCUGUAUAUCCAUAGGUCACUUUUCCCCUGACCCUUACUAUUGGACAGUUUUCAAAACCCCUGUAAGGUAUAAAACCCCUAACUCUGCCCACUUCGGGAGAGAAGAGCUGUCACUGGACCCUUCGCGGAGACCCGAAUAAAAGAACCCUGCGGAACCCAUACAGCGCUUCUCCCUCUCUCUCUGCGUCUGCUGCGGCGGCGGUACCGACGGCACCAGGCAAGCUAAAAGAGCUGAAAUCACUAAAGAGCUGACUGCAAAUCACUAUAGCCUGCCUGGGUUGCCUGAGCCCCCCGCUGAGCUAUCCUGGCCCUCCGCUGAGCUAUCCUGGCCGGCCGGCAUUCCCCGCUGGGCUUCUGCCCUGAGGGUAAUAGCCCAGCCAUAGAUGGUGCACCGAACAUAGCGGACGCCCGAACAGCGAGGGGCCCCUGGGCCGACAUCUGAACCGCCGUGAUAUCCUGGCCGCGGAACUGAAUGCCGGACCUGGCAUUUCAGAGGAGCAGCAUUUCUUCGUGAAAUUGUCACUGCCUCCGCGCCAGAAAUCCUGGAAGGAGAAGCUCUCCGUUAUAGAAGGACUCUUCUGGACAGGAGGUCAGCCGACCCGCACCCCGACACCUGAACACUUGUUCAUGGAGGCUGAUGAGCAGACGACCCCCAGCAGAACUUUGACCCACAACAGGCUGAAAAGUAACGUCCUUGUGGACCUGGGCACGGGCAAGGCGAAGCUCAUCGACUUCAGGUGCGGCACGAUCCUCCAGGACAUGUUCUACACCUAGAUGUCAGCUCUCCUUCCUCUGAGCCCCACAUGCAGCAGAGAGAAGGAGAAUGGGGAAAAUGGCACCGGCAAUGAUGAUGACAGAAGAAAAAAAGAGGAGUUGAGUUCAGAGGAAAAAGGAUGUAAGGUAAGGAGACCAAGCUAAGUCCUGUGUGGUAGAUUUUUGGUUCAUGUGCUGUAGGUGUAGCUCUGAGAACUUUUCUUGUGGUGUGGGCCCAGGGAAGCAGCUGGCCAAGGACGAGCUCACUGUGCUUCAAGCUGUGUCCAGAGGGAAGGGAUGGCUGGUCCAUGGGGACAGCAGCCCAGAUCCCAGGCACACGAUUGCCUUUGCAGCAGGGCCAGGACGUGCAGUUGUUUUGGGUUUGCUCUGGCAUACAGGAGGAGGCAGAUGAACAACAGCUUUGGUAGACAGAAUGUCCAAUUAAAGGUUUGGGAACUUGAUUUCAGCCUUGCAGAGAAAGGGCCCAAUGUAUACAGGAACUGACCCUUUCAGUGUACUUUGAACAGGUCCUGAUUUGGCUCUCUAGCUGGGCCAGAAAUGAUGGGAUACUAAGCAUGGAUGUGCAUCUGCCCCUGCUGCCUCCUCCCCCAUUCCUGGCCCUGGCAUGGGGGCCCUGGAGCAAGUUGGGCAGGCAGAGACCUUGCAGAGAGCAGCAGGGCAGGGAGCUCUGCUGAACUCCCUAAAUGGCAGUAAGGCUGAGAUGAUGGAUGUGUGGGAGCUGGAGAGCAGCGAGCAUCCCGAGAGCUCAGCAGCAGCAUCUGGGCUCCAAGGCUGCUGGGGAAGUGUAGGAGGGAAGGGCAGCAGCAGCAGAAAUGAGAGGCUUGAGACAAACAGGUUUGGACAUGCUGCAGAAUGGUUUUGUGGGGAUUUGGCUGGAGAUCAGCACUGGCUGUGAGACACCUUAGGGGCAGGGAGAGAACAGUGAUCUAAACCCACUUCCAUGGCAUCCAAAAGGCCAGGGGACGCAGUGGCACCCCAGAACACCUUGAUGUCAAACGUAUGGAUGCCAGCUGGGAAUGCAGCCACACUUGCAGAGCAGUGAGCAGGAGGUGAGCACAGAACUCAUCUAGGUAGAGAACUUUUGACUAGACAGGUUCUUUUGGAUCCAUUGUCCCCCAGACAUGUCAAUGUGUGGCCCUGUUGUCAUGACAAGUCAAAAACAGCAGCACAAGUGACACAAAGAAAACAUGGCAAAAGAGGAAGAGGAGAGGCCCAGCAAGGAAGGGAUGUGGUGAGACACUGGCACAUCAAGUGAGCUGCACUCCCAUAAUCUCCAGGCUAGGAGAUCCUGGUCUCAUAUUCUCCUUUGGUUUAUAUAAAUUUUAUUUAUUUUUUUAGUUUUUUAAAAUCAUCAAAAUAAAAUAUAUACAAUUAAAAUAUCUCAUCAAAAUUUAAAUAUACAAUCAAACACAUUUAUUCAAAACUAUCAGAACACAGAUACAUCCGUAACUAUGAAGCCUAAACCUAUUCCAAAAUCCUAACUCCUAUUGCGGAUAAUCCUAUUCUUGAUGAAUCCUAACCUGGGUGAAUCCUAUUCUUGAUGAAUCCUAAUCUGGAUGAAUCCUAUAGUUGAUGAAUCCUAUUCUUGAUGAAUGCUCUUCUUGGUGAAUCCUCUUCUUGAUAAUCCUAAAGCCUAAAUCCUAACUUGAAAUAUUCUUUGGACAGUCGGCAGCUUCUUCCUGAUCUUGGAGAAAGGGCGCUUCUGGACUGCAGGCAAGGACUUUCCUGGUAAGGGAAUAGUGGAAAUGUCCAGAGAAAACUUCUUGGAAAGACUGUAGCCGGUCGUAUCUGUGGAGACACAAAGUUUAACAGAGCCUGGAAUGCAAACCUAAAGCAUCUGAAGCUCCGUAUU
Passer domesticus (house sparrow) is the source of this 3038-nucleotide long non-coding RNA. RefSeq lists it as uncharacterized. The record is from RefSeq and is a predicted model, not a curated record. Lineage: Eukaryota; Metazoa; Chordata; Aves; Passeriformes; Passeridae. The transcript has 3 exons.